This 429-nucleotide ribosomal RNA is filed under the name Chloroflexota bacterium. RNAcentral describes it as "Chloroflexi bacterium partial 16S ribosomal RNA". It matches the Rfam family "Bacterial small subunit ribosomal RNA", at positions 355 to 776 of the family's 1533-position model. Lineage: Bacteria; Bacillati; Chloroflexota. The record is from RNAcentral.
UGGGGAAUAUUGCACAAUGGGCGCAAGCCUGAUGCAGCCAUGCCGCGUGUAUGAAGAAGGCCUUCGGGUUGUAAAGUACUUUCAGCGGGGAGGAAGGGAGUAAAGUUAAUAACCUUGGCAAUUGACGUUACCGACAGAAGAAGCACCGGCUAACUCCGUGCCAGCAGCCGCGGUAAUACGGAGGGUGCAAGCGUUAAUCGGAAUUACUGGGCGUAAAGCGCACGCAGGCGGUUGAUUGAGUCAGAUGUGAAAUCCCCGGGCUUAACCCGGGAAUUGCAUCUGAUACUGGUCAGCUAGAGUCUUGUAGAGGGGGGUAGAAUUCCAUGUGUAGCGGUGAAAUGCGUAGAGAUGUGGAGGAAUACCGGUGGCGAAGGCGGCCCCCUGGACAAAGACUGACGCUCAGGUGCGAAAGCGUGGGGAGCAAACAGG